This 475-nucleotide ribosomal RNA is filed under the name uncultured organism. RNAcentral's name for it is "partial 16S ribosomal RNA". It matches the Rfam family "Bacterial small subunit ribosomal RNA", at positions 335 to 801 of the family's 1533-position model. The record is from RNAcentral.
ACUCCUGCGGGAGGCAGCAGUGGGGAAUAUUGCACAAUGGGCGCAAGCCUGAUGCAGCCAUGCCGCGUGUAUGAAGAAGGCCUUCGGGUUGUAAAGUACUUUCAGCGGGGAGGAAGGCGAUAAGGUUAAUAACCUUGUCGAUUGACGUUACCCGCAGAAGAAGCACCGGCUAACUCCGUGCCAGCAGCCGCGGUAAUACGGAGGGUGCAAGCGUUAAUCGGAAUUACUGGGCGUAAAGCGCACGCAGGCGGUCUGUCAAGUCGGAUGUGAAAUCCCCGGGCUCAACCUGGGAACUGCAUUCGAAACUGGCAGGCUAGAGUCUUGUAGAGGGGGGUAGAAUUCCAGGUGUAGCGGUGAAAUGCGUAGAGAUCUGGAGGAAUACCGGUGGCGAAGGCGGCCCCCUGGACAAAGACUGACGCUCAGGUGCGAAAGCGUGGGGAGCAAACAGGAUUAGAAACCCGAGUAGUCCCAUGAU